Molecule: long non-coding RNA, 1326 nt
Filed under: Anolis carolinensis (green anole)
Lineage: Eukaryota; Metazoa; Chordata; Lepidosauria; Squamata; Anolidae
Description: lncRNA (ENSACAG00000045136.1)
Source: RNAcentral
AUGGAUGCUGGGGAACAGGUGGUAACGGAAGAAGUGGGCACAGACUGGGCAUGGGCACCGGAGGUGCUUGGGGAGGAAUCGGGGCCCAUGGAUGCUGCUGAUGCUGGAGAGGCUUGGGUACCUUUAGAAGCAGAUCCCACUUGGUCUGUUUGGAGGAAUGAGGGUGGGUCCACACGUGUGGAUAGAGUUGGGUGUGAGCAAGAUGAUUGGGACUCUGAUGCCCAGGGAGACCUGGAUAAAUUGGGGAUGUUUGGCCAUAAUACUUUGCGUGUGCCUGUGUGUGUUACUGAAGACUGGACUGGGACUUUGCAACAGAUGUAAGUUUGAUCCGGGUCAUUCUGCAAUGGAAGGCUGGAAUUGUGUGGGUUUUCCUGGAUUGCACUGUUAUUACUAUUUUGCAUUAGCUGCUGUUCUCCCUCGUUGCUUUGGCUCUCUGUGCCAUUCUGUGUUGUGGACCUCCUUUUGAUGACUUCAAUCCCUGGACCUUGGACUGGAACUCAACCCGGCUCUCCUCUUUGCCCUUAAACACUGCUUGGCGUCGCUCUCUAUUCUGUGGCUGCCUUCUGCUCCUGACUCCUGGCUUGUUUCCUGACCCUGACGCUGUCUCCUAUCCCAACCUCGGACCGGCUUGACGAUGUUUCUACACUCUGCUCCUUGGGCUCCUGGCUUGGCCUGCACUCCUGUAGUUGUUUAAUGCUGUCUCCCCACCUCGACCUCGGACCGGCUUGACGCCGCUUCUACGCCCUGCACCUUUAAAUUCCUGGCUUGGGCUUCGUUCCUGCAGCGGUUUGACUCUGUCUCCCCAUCCUGACCUCAGACCUGCUUGACGAUGCUUCUCUCUCUGCUCCUUUAACUCCUGGCUUAGUGUUUUGCUCUGCAGUGGUUGCCACUGGCCCGCCAGUGUCCUUCAACUCCGCUUGCUUAGCUGCUCUCAGUUGAGAGCUUUUCUGCCCGGUUUGGGUUCCUGUUUGGGUUUAGAGUUGCUUUUGUACUUCUGGGCUUUAGGAGGUUUUUGGGGGCUUUGAAGCUGUUUACUUUACUUUGUAUGUUCAUUCUAAGUCCGCUCUGAACUUUUGGGCUUAUUUGGAGGACUUUAAAUUUAAUCCGGAUUAUAUUCCUGAUUAAUCCGGAUGAUUCGCCAAUUAACGUUUUUUGGCCUUUCUUUGUUUAGACUGCUUAAUAACCCUGAAUGUUAAGUGUUUUAAGCCAUUUUUAUGUUGUUGAAUUGUUUUUGGGCUAUUACUGAAUUAAACUCUGUUUUGCUCUCCAUUGGCGUCUGACUUUUGACACCCACUGGAUACCAUGAGUCCAUUCUCAGGCUGGAAG